AUUGAACGCUGGCGGAAUGCUUUACACAUGCAAGUCGAACGAUGAACCUUAGCUUGCUAGGGGGGAUUAGUGGCGAACGGGUGAGUAAUAUAUCGGAACGUACCUUGUAAUGGGGGAUAACUAGUCGAAAGAUUAGCUAAUACCGCAUACGCCCUGAGGGGGGAAAGUAGGGGGAUCUUCGGACCUUACGUUAUAAGAGCGGCCGAUAUCUGAUUAGGGUAGUUGGUGAGGUAAAGGCUCACCAAGCCAACGAUCUGUAGCUGGUCUGAGAGGACGACCAGCCACACUGGAACUGAGACACGGUCCAGACUCCUACGGGAGGCAGCAGUGGGGAAUUUUGGACAAUGGACGCAAGUCUGAUCCAGCCAUUCCGCGUGCAGGAUGAAGGCCCUCGGGUUGUAAACUGCUUUUGUACGGUAACGAAAGGUUUACUAUUAAUACUAGGAGCGUCAUGACGGUACCGUAAGAAUAAG
RNAcentral lists this ribosomal RNA (473 nucleotides) under uncultured bacterium. Its description in RNAcentral is "bacterial SSU rRNA". It matches the Rfam family "Bacterial small subunit ribosomal RNA", at positions 30 to 490 of the family's 1533-position model. The record is from RNAcentral.